This 400-nucleotide ribosomal RNA is filed under the name uncultured bacterium. RNAcentral describes it as "bacterial SSU rRNA". It matches the Rfam family "Bacterial small subunit ribosomal RNA", at positions 29 to 430 of the family's 1533-position model. The record is from RNAcentral.
AUUGAACGCUGGCGGAAUGCUUUACACAUGCAAGUCGAGCGGCAGCGCGGGGGCAACCCUGGCGGCGAGCGGCGAACGGGUGAGUAACAUAUCGGAACGUACCCCGUCGUGGGGGAUAACACAGCGAAAGCUGUGCUAAUACCGCAUACGACCUGAGGGUGAAAGCGGGGGAUCGCAAGACCUCGCGCGAUGGGAGCGGCCGAUAUCGGAUUAGCUUGUUGGUGAGGUAAAGGCUCACCAAGGCGACGAUCCGUAGCUGGUCUGAGAGGACGACCAGCCACACUGGAACUGAGACACGGUCCAGACUCCUACGGGAGGCAGCAGUGGGGAAUUUUGGGACAAUGGGGGCAACCCUGAUCCAGCCAUUCCGCGUGAGUGAAGAAGGCCUCGGUUGGUAAAG